RNAcentral lists this long non-coding RNA (224 nucleotides) under Mytilus galloprovincialis (Mediterranean mussel). Lineage: Eukaryota; Metazoa; Mollusca; Bivalvia; Mytilida; Mytilidae. The record is from RNAcentral.
CACGUCUUCUUUGGUGCCGGGCUGCCAUACUUUUUGCGAUGUUUGUUUACAUUUUGGGCAACACAAAUGCCUUUCAUUUUCACGGAAUUACACAAACCGUCAAAUGAGGAAACGUUACAAAGUACUUCACAACGUUGUCGACUUAUUCCGUAAAAAGUAUCAACAUCUAUAGUUUGCCUGGUUCGCCCUAUGCAUUAGAAAGCCAGAUCAAGCAAAAAUUUUGG